GGGAGGUAAAAGGGCUAAGUGAGCAGUGUGAAUACUCCUUGGUCUCCUGAAUGCCUUGGUUCUCAACUAUAUUAGGGAGCAGUUACUAACAUGUGAAUAAUAAGCCUCAGGUUAAGACAAUAAUCAGGAAUUCACAUCUUGAAGGAAAAGAGGGUGGCAAGGUUCCAGAGAUAUAUAAAAGGACUGGGAUAAGGCAGACUCAGUGAUUCCCUGUGUGUGCUGUAAGCAGAGGAAAAGGCAGAGAUCUGAAGUUGAAGAAAACAACUCAGAAGAAACAAAGAAACAUGGCGUCUUGCCCGGAGCUGAUUCAAGACCUCCAGGGAGAGCUCAUCUGCUCCAUUUGCAGGGAGUACUUCAAA
Molecule: long non-coding RNA, 359 nt
Filed under: Phascolarctos cinereus (koala)
Lineage: Eukaryota; Metazoa; Chordata; Mammalia; Diprotodontia; Phascolarctidae
Description: lncRNA (ENSPCIG00000034727.1)
Source: RNAcentral